CUGGUUCCUGAGUCAAUUCCAUCCAGGUAGGAGGAAUCCUAUCAGAAAGUAUGUGAGCGCAUUUGCAUUCCUGUGGGGCCCCCUUAGCUCUGGCUGCAUCUGCUUCUGCAGGGAGAAAGUAUCCCUACUGUGAGAGAUCUGGGAUCUGGAGUACAGAGGAUGGUGAAGCCAAGGCCUGAAGACCUUUCCUGCAAGGUGACAGAGGAAGAGACAGAAGGACCAGAACCCAGCUCCCCUGACUCCCCAUCCAGUGCUCUUCUCAUAGAUUACAUUGCUUCAGCAUCCACUCGGCUAUUGCUCCAUUCAGGGGUUACAGGAGUCACUGACUGUUUUGGUUGCUUCUUGGUUGGAGGAUGUUGUGCCUCACCGAUGAGGGCCGGAAGAAAAGGUACCAGUUCUUAGAGGAAGCAUAGGAAUGUGUCCCUUCCUGCUCGGGUCUCUCAACUGAACUCAACCCUUCCUUGAUUGAUUGACAGGCAUGUUAUCUCUUAUAAUCCCUGCCAGGUAAGGGCUGAUGUUCCCAUUUUACAGAUGAGAAUAUUGGCGCUCAGAGAAGUGAAAUGAUUGCUGAAGGUCACACAGCCCGGCUUCAAGCCUCUCGGGCUCCAAAAGGCAUCUUCUGUUCUCUCUGUCAGGAAGCCUCUUUUGGAUGAUUAACUGAGAUUAAAAAUGAAAAUACACAUGAAAGAAA
Molecule: long non-coding RNA, 691 nt
Filed under: Pongo abelii (Sumatran orangutan)
Lineage: Eukaryota; Metazoa; Chordata; Mammalia; Primates; Hominidae
Description: lincRNA
Source: RNAcentral